Long non-coding RNA from Tarenaya hassleriana, 152 nucleotides. RefSeq lists it as uncharacterized. The record is from RefSeq and is a predicted model, not a curated record. The transcript has 2 exons. Lineage: Eukaryota; Viridiplantae; Streptophyta; Magnoliopsida; Brassicales; Cleomaceae.
UUGUCUGAUUCAGAACCACUCGGUCUCCUGAUAUUUUAAAAGGGUGGAGUCGGGUGUUCGGUGAACUGUAGAUGCGAAGGAUGCAAGAACGCGUUCGGGCGUAAAGACGGGUCUUCCGGCAUUGGCAGCGAAGGCGAGCAAGAAGAGGAGAA